AUACAGAGGGUGCGAGCGUUAAUCGGAAUUACUGGGCGUAAAGCGCGCGUAGGCGGCUACUUAAGUCAGAUGUGAAAUCCCCGGGCUCAACCUGGGAACUGCAUCUGAUACUGGGUAGCUAGAGUUUUGGAGAGGGGAGUAGAAUUUCAGGUGUAGCGGUGAAAUGCAUAGAGAUCUGAAGGAAUACCAGUGGCGAAGGCGACUUCCUGGCCAAAAACUGACGCUGAGGUGCGAAAGCGUGGGUAGCAAACGGGAUUAGAAACCCGAGUAGUCC
This 274-nucleotide ribosomal RNA is filed under the name uncultured bacterium. RNAcentral describes it as "partial 16S ribosomal RNA". It matches the Rfam family "Bacterial small subunit ribosomal RNA", at positions 523 to 796 of the family's 1533-position model. The record is from RNAcentral.